RNAcentral lists this ribosomal RNA (492 nucleotides) under uncultured bacterium. RNAcentral describes it as "partial 16S ribosomal RNA". It matches the Rfam family "Bacterial small subunit ribosomal RNA", at positions 28 to 507 of the family's 1533-position model. The record is from RNAcentral.
GGCGAACGCUGGCGGCAGGCCUAACACAUGCAAGUCGAACGGCAGCACAGUAAGAGCUUGCUCUUACGGGUGGCGAGUGGCGGACGGGUGAGGUAUACAUCGGAAUCUACUUUUUCGUGGGGGAUAACGUAGGGAAACUUACGCUAAUACCGCAUACGACCUACGGGGGAAAGCAGGGGAUCUUCUGACCUUUUGCGAUUGAAUAAGCCGAUGUCGGAUUAGCUAGUUGGCGGGUUAAAGACCCACAACGGCGACGAUCCGUAGCGGGUCUGAGGGGAUGGUCAGCCACACUGGAACUGAGACACGGUCCAGACUCCUACGGUAGGCAGCAGUGGGGAAUAUUAGGCAAUGGGCGCAAGCCUGAUACAGCCAUACCGCGUGGGUGAAGAAGGCCUUCGGGUUGUAAAGCCCUUUUGUUGGGAAAGAAAAGCAGCAGGUUAAUACCCCGCUGUUCUGACGGUACCCAAAGAAUAAGCACCGGCUAACUUCGUG